UCGAACGGGCACCUUCGGGUGUCAGUGGCAGACGGGUGAGUAACGCGUGGGAACGUACCUUUCGGUUCGGAAUAACCCAGGGAAACUUGGGCUAAUACCGGAUACGCCGGUAACGGGAAAGAUUUAUCGCCGAAAGAUCGGCCCGCGUCGGAUUAGCUAGUUGGUGAGGUAACGGCCCACCAAGGCGACGAUCCGUAGCUGGUCUGAGAGGAUGAUCAGCCACACUGGGACUGAGACACGGCCCAG
Molecule: ribosomal RNA, 246 nt
Filed under: uncultured bacterium
Lineage: Bacteria
Description: partial 16S ribosomal RNA
Rfam family: Bacterial small subunit ribosomal RNA
Source: RNAcentral